Molecule: RNA transcript, 14883 nt
Organism: Mus musculus (house mouse)
Lineage: Eukaryota; Metazoa; Chordata; Mammalia; Rodentia; Muridae
Gene: Phf14
Gene name: PHD finger protein 14
Exons: 18
Source: RefSeq, marked validated
CAUUUAAUAUUUAUUUAUUAUAUUUAAAUAUACAUAUUGGCUGUUCUUGGCAUUGCUUUCAUCUCAGGCCAUUUAUUUAUUUUUUGCUCCAUCUCGAUGGUCUAUUAGAAGAAGUACUUGUUGCCCGUAGACUGUGAUCAAUAAUCACAUGUGAUAAUUUAACUAAUUAUUUCUCAUUACAAUAUCUUCAUUUUAUUGGCAAUAACAAUUUCCCUGCUUUUUGAGCCAAGCCAUAUCAAAUAAAUCUUUAUUUUAUAGGGUAAAAUUUUAUUUCUUUUUUAUUACCUAAACAUAUUAGUGUGCCAAUCGGAUUUUUUCAACAUGCUCUUAGCCCUGGGAAUUUCUGUACUUUUAAAAAACAUCUCCCUUCACUCUUGACACCCACCCCAGUUUAGAUGCAUACUUAAACUUUUUGUGUAUGAGUAUAAAUAUAAAUUGCUCUAGAAUGCUUUUCCUUUGUGUUUCCUCCUCUCUGAAUGUGUGUAUUCUUUCUCUGGUUGUCCAGAGUAACAAACAGUAAUUUACUUGAUUAUAUAUUCAGUUGUAUCUCAACCUGUGGCUGGGAAAAGACAAUAAUCAUUUUGGUACAUUCCUUAAAUUGCUAUAUAUGGUAUUUAUUAAAUAUGUUUCAAUGAAAAUAUCUUUGAAGAGUUUCCUCCUCAUUGCAUUCGGUGAUUUGAUGUCUAUAAAUUUCACAAUUUUUCAAAACAUUUCAUUUCCCAUUCUAAACAUACUGACAUUCAACAUGUAUUUGUGGAAUAAAUAAAUGAGUUUAAUUGGUUUCAUUCAAACCUUUGUGUAAUAUCAAUAUAAGAUUUGCCAUAUUUGUAUUAUGUUCUUUUUUCCUCUUAGUAAUACUGAGUACUGUGGUUUAUUUAUAUGGAUGUCUUCCAAUCAAAUGUGGUUGGUUACUCCUGUAACCUUUGUGCCACUACUGCACCAGCAUAUCUUGGAGGCAGGUUGCUUUGUCUGAGGCCAGAUCUCAGUGUUUGUGCUUGGGAGGUGCUGAUGAUUACGUUUCUCGUCCUCUCAUAGUGUGCAGAGCACCUUAACCUUAGCCAUUAGGGAUGGAACUUCUAGUUGAGCACCAGUUUAAUGUUCAAUAAUAUAAGUAGUGUCUUCAGCAGUAGGGAUUUGCUAUCAGGUUGUAGAGAUCAAGUAACAAUAGUCUGUGAUACUUGAAGGGUUGUAUGGAAUCUGUCCAGUGACUCAACAGGAGAGAACCCAUUUGUAGCACUGGAGUUUUCACUUGGUGAGAUAAGCUAUCUAGUUGAGGCAUUGUCUCCCCCAGUAUAUGGGGGAGUAAAUAUAUUCUAUUUCAUUUCCUUGCAUAUUGUAUUUGCUUUAAAGAGCCUCUAUGCUUGUAGAUUUCUGUUGUAACACAGUCCCCAGAAUGCUGUUUUCUUAGUGAGGAGAAUUGGUGAAGAGAAUUCUGAGUGCUUGGGAGACUAUAAGACAACAAGACAAGAGUCUUGGAGCUCAGUUUCUUCAGAACACAGAACUUGCUUUUGGACUGCUUCGUGCUCCUCCCAGGUGUAGUGAAUAGGAGUGAGUUUAUUUCAGCUUAUCCAUCACAGCUAACUAUUGUUAUUUGUUUAUUACCACCAAGGAAAAGACAUUUUUGACAUGUGCAGCUUUCCUUGCAAUUGGACUCUUUACUCUUGUGAUUCUUAACUCUUACAGUUUAAAUUUUCUGAUGUUCUGAAUAAAGUUAGCUAUUGCAUGAGAACUUAGUCUACCUUCUUUUUAGGUUCUGUUAUCCCAGGCCCCUGUAGAGUGGUAAACAGUUUUUCCAUAUAUUUUUUGAAGGGGUCUUUAGUGUUAGUUGUCUUCUCUAUAUUUCCCACCCCCAUUAGACUUUUUUUUCACUAGCAUCUUAACUUCACCUUCAGAUUCGUUCAUUAGCCUAUUAAAGCCAGUCCUGGGCUUGGCUCCUGUCUGCCUUGUUUCUGAGGCUUACUUACUUACUGGAGUUACACAAAAUAGUUGUCUUUCUUCUUUUCUUUUUAACUUAUGUUCCUAACUUUGAAAAAUGGAAUAUUUGUCUUUUUGAGUCCUAGUUACCUCACGCAGGAUAAUUUUUGCUAUGUUUGUCCAUUUUCUUGCAAAUUUCAUUUUUCUUAACAGCUGAAUAAUAUUCCAUUGUGUAACUAUAAAACAUUUUCACUAUUCAACCAUUAGCUUAUGGACAUCUAUAAUGUUUCUAAAUUUUGGUGAUUAUAUAGAGAGCAGCAAUGGACAUGAAUGAGCAAAUAUCAACGUCUGAGUGGUGUCUUAGUCAGUGUUUCUAUUCGUACACAAAACAUCAUGGCCAAGAAGCAAGUUGGGGAGGAAAGGGUUUAUUCAGCUUACACUUGCACAUUGCUGUUCAUCACCAAAGGAAGUCAUGACAGGAACUCAAGCAGGUCAGGAACUUGGAGGCUGAAGUGGAUGCAGAAGCCAUGGAGGAGUUCUGUUUACUGUCUUUCUUCCCCUGGCUUUCUUAUAGAAUCAAAGAAUACUAGCCCAGGGAUGGCACUACCCAUGAUGGGCUAGGCCCUCAGUGCUUGAUCACUAUUUGAGAAAAUACCUUACAGCUGGAUCUCUUGGAGGCAUUUCCUCAAGGGAGGCUCCUUUGAUUACUCCAGCUUGUGUUAAGUUGAUACACAAAACUAGGAAGUACAAGUGUUAUAGUCGAAUCUUGAGGUAGAUGGAGACUCAGCUUCGUGAGGAACCUGUACUCUGAUUUCCAUAGUAGCUGUACCAGUUUUCACUCCCACCAGCAAUGACUAGUUCUUAGGCAGAUGGAUGGAACUAGAGAAUCUGUGAAUAUUCUUAAAGUUACUGAGUUCCGGCGAGGGAGCGAGUGCGCGCAUGCGCCCUCAGCUUCGGCUGCCCAGGGCGGCGUUUCCGCGGCGGCUUUCACUUCCUCCUUGUCGGAGCUGUAUCCGGGUCGCUGUUCUCCCUAUUGUCUCUGACAGAAGGCCCUCCGCUGUGCAAAUUCUGGGUCUUUUGUUGCUUCUGGUGCAGGCUAAUAAAGUUUUCUUUUUAUUUCCAGUUUUUACCGGGGCAGUUCCCCUCGCAGGGCGGCCGGUUCGGGCCUAGCGCCCCUGGCCGGGGAGCGCGGGGGAAGGGGCGCCGGGCGGGCGGGCGGGCGGGCGCGGGGCGUGGGGAGGGACAGUAGCCCACCCCCGGGGUCGCCCCUGCUCGGUCGGCGCAGCGCCCUGCCUCGGUAGCUGCUCUCCGACCGGUCUCCUUGGUCCUCUGCGCGUCCCUGCUGCCUUGCCUCUCGCAGCCUUCCCUAGCUCUCCAAACGACCACCUCACGGAUUCCUUAUGGAUCGCAGCUCCAAGAGGAGGCAGGUGAAGCCUUUGGCCGCUUCUCUCCUGGAAGCUCUUGAUUAUGAUAGUUCAGAUGACAGUGAUUUUAAAGUUGGAGAUGCUUCAGAUUCUGAAGGGAGUGGUAAUGGAAGUGAAGAUCCUUCAAAGGACAGUGGAGAAGGUUCCUGUAGUGAUUCUGAGGAAAACAUUUUAGAAGAAGAACUGAAUGAAGAUAUUCAAGUAAAAGAAGAACAGCUUAAAAAUUCUACAGAGGAAAUAAUGCCAUCAGACAAACAGUUAAUUAAAAUGGAAAAGAAGGAAGAAGAAGAAAACGGAGAAAGACCUAGAAAGAAAAAGGAGAAAGAAAAGGAGAAAGAAAAGGAAAGGGAGAAGGACAAAGAGAAAGCAACAGUAUCUGAUAGUGCAGCUGCUUCUGCUGCUGGCACCACACCAGCCACAAGCCCUCCUGCUGUCACCUCCCCUUCUGUCCCUACCACCACUACCACCACCACGGAGGAACAAGUCAGUGAGCCCAAGAAAUGGAAUCUUCGUCGGAACCGUCCCCUGUUGGACUUUGUAUCCAUGGAAGAACUCAAUGCUAUGGAUGAUUAUGACAGUGAGGAUGAUAAUGACUGGAGACCUACUGUAGUAAAGAGAAAGGGGCGAUCAGCGUCUCAGAAGGAGGGCAGUGAUGGAGACAAUGAGGAUGAUGACGAUGAGGGAAGUGGGAGUGAGGAAGAUGAGAAUGAUGAGGGCAAUGAUGAAGAUCAUAGCAGCCCUGCUAGCGAAGCAGGUGGCAAGAAGAAGAGGAGUAAAGUUCUUAGCAGAAACAGUGCUGAUGAUGAGGAACUGACCAAUGAUAGCCUGACCCUAUCUCAAAGCAAGAGUAAUGAGGACUCUCUGAUUCUUGAGAAGAGUCAAAAUUGGAGUUCUCAGAAAAUGGACCACAUUCUGAUUUGCUGUGUUUGUCUUGGAGAUAAUAGUGAAGAUGCAGAUGAAAUAAUUCAGUGUGAUAAUUGUGGCAUUACAGUUCAUGAAGGUUGUUAUGGAGUCGAUGGGGAGAGUGACUCUAUUAUGAGUUCGGCUUCUGAAAACUCCACUGAGCCUUGGUUUUGUGAUGCCUGUAAAUGUGGUGUAUCUCCUAGCUGUGAACUAUGUCCUAAUCAGGAUGGGAUUUUCAAGGAGACGGAUGCUGGAAGAUGGGUCCACAUUGUUUGUGCCCUAUAUGUUCCUGGAGUGGCUUUUGGAGAUAUUGAUAAAUUACGACCAGUAACGCUAACAGAAAUGAACUAUUCUAAAUAUGGUGCCAAGGAGUGUAGCUUUUGUGAAGAUCCUCGCUUUGCUAGAACUGGAGUUUGCAUUAGCUGUGAUGCAGGCAUGUGUAGAGCCUAUUUCCAUGUCACCUGUGCCCAAAAGGAAGGCCUGCUAUCAGAGGCAGCAGCAGAAGAGGAUAUAGCAGAUCCAUUUUUUGCUUAUUGUAAGCAGCAUGCAGACAGAUUAGACAGAAAAUGGAAAAGAAAAAACUACUUGGCUCUACAAUCCUAUUGUAAAAUGUCUUUGCAAGAGAGAGAAAAACAGCUGUCCCCUGAAGCACAGGCAAGGAUCAAUGCCCGACUACAGCAAUAUCGUGCCAAGGCAGAGCUGGCGCGAUCUACCAGACCACAAGCCUGGGUUCCAAGGGAAAAGCUACCCAGGCCACUGACAAGUAGUGCUUCGGCUAUUCGUAAGCUUAUGCGCAAAGCAGAGCUGAUGGGAAUCAGUACGGAUAUCUUUCCAGUGGACAACUCAGAUACUAGUUCUAGUGUGGAUGGAAGGCGGAAGCAUAAGCAGCCCGCUCUCACUGCUGAUUUUGUGAAUUACUAUUUUGAGAGAAAUAUGCGCAUGAUUCAAAUUCAGGAAAAUAUGGCUGAACAAAAGAAUAUAAAGGAUAAAUUAGAGAAUGAGCAAGAAAAGCUUCAUGUAGAAUAUAAUAAGCUCUGUGAAUCAUUAGAGGAACUGCAAAAUCUGAAUGGGAAACUUCGAAGUGAAGGGCAAGGGAUAUGGGCCUUACUUGGCCGAAUUACAGGGCAGAAGUUGAAUGUACCAGCAAUCUUACGAGCACCUAAGGAAAGGAAACCAAGUAAAAAAGAAGGAGGCACACAAAAGACAUCUGCUCUUCCUACAGUGCUUUAUAGUUGUGGAAUUUGUAAGAAGAACCAUGAUCAGCAUCUUCUUUUACUGUGUGACACCUGUAAACUGCAUUAUCAUCUCGGCUGCCUUGAUCCUCCUCUUACAAGGAUGCCGAGAAAGACGAAAAACAGUUACUGGCAAUGCUCAGAGUGUGACCAGGCAGGGAGCAGCGACAUGGAAGCAGAGAUGGCCAUGGAAACCUUACCAGAUGGAACAAAACGAUCAAGGAGACAGAUUAAGGAGCCAGUGAAGUUUGUGCCACAGGAUGUCCCACCAGAACCCAAGAAGAUUCCAAUAAGAAACACGAGAACCAGAGGACGAAAGCGAAGCUUUGUUCCUGAGGAAGAAAAACAUGAGGAAAGAGUUCCUAGGGAAAGGAGGCAGAGGCAGUCUGUGUUACAGAAGAAGCCCAAGGCUGAGGACUUAAGAACUGAGUGUUCAACUUGCAAAGGAACUGGAGAUAAUGAGAAUCUUGUCAGAUACCCUUCAUGAGACCCAACUCUGCCACAGCUCAUCCUCGGAGGCAAUCCCGGAAACCUCUUUUAUAAGUGUGAUUUUAAAAUGUGGAUAAAACUCUCAAUAGAGCAUAUAAACUAAAGGAGAACAGCUAUCUUGUUCUUCCCAUAAGCUUAUCACUGCAGAAAGUGCUUUUGCUUGUCAAGUUUGGAUAGAAUGUAAUUGAUUGCUUUAUUAUAUGGGUAGACAAGGCAGUUAAUUUGCCUGUGUGGAUUUUUUUCCCUUUUUCUGUUUUUCUGCUCUCUCUCUCUCUCUCUCUUUCUCUCUCUCUCUCUCUCUCUCUCUCUCUCUCUCUGUCUCUCUCUCUUUCUCUCUCUAUCUGUUACAAUAUUCAGAAACACUCGGUGUAUGCAUUAUUAAAAACAAUAGUGGUAAAUGUCUUGUCAGAAUUAUUUUAGUUGGUAAAUGUCUUUCCUCUUGUUUCUUUGGCAUAAGACAAUACAAUACAGUAUUUGGACUGAAAAUUAAAGAAAGCCAGUGGGACUUACGUGCUCUGUGCUACCCUGUUACUGAAUUAUUCUCUCUGUGUUAUUUGUUUGUAAAAAGGACAAUGCUUUCCACUGAUCUGCAAGUCUGUAUCACCUCACUUACUGCGAGUAUUCACACAUGAGAACAACCCUAGACUCAUAUUUAAUGCUAUUUCUAUUUGUGUAUUCAGCAAAAGUGAAGGACUGGUGAAGAUUACAACUGUUUGAGUACUGUGGAAGCACUUGAUGUCAGUACGGACAUUUUAUAACUAGAAUUUCAACUCAAGAAUGAACAUAGUAUCUGUAUUAGUAUCUAGGUAUUUUUCCAGAAAUAUCCAAAUUUAUUCCUUUUUGUUUUAUUUAAUAUAAACUUGCUGUGUUCCAUAUAAUUUUACUUGUUGAACCUAAAUGUGAAGCUAUGAAAUGAGGGAACUACAGAGCUUGUUGGGUAUACAGCCUGCCUGCUGAAAGCUCUUCACCAGCCCUGUGUCUUCCCAGAGCUUCACAGAGUUUACAUUUGAUCCUCACUCUUUACUGAUCCAGUUUUAAGUCAACGGCAGAAAUAACUUUGAAUAUUGCACCACUUAAUCUCGAACUGAUUUAGAAGAGCCUGCUGAAAAUGAAACGCACAUAUACAUGUAAAUUGUCAAGCUGUCUCUUAAAAUUCCAUUGCUUAUCAUUGUGGGUUUGGACCUUUUCAGGUAUAAGGGCAUUUGGAAUAGUUUAAACUUUAGCAUUAGAAUAGAUAAUAAAUGCAAGUGUAAUUGUAAAGCUGGUGUUGCUAGUAAUCUGUAGUUACAGGAACCACAUGACUGCAUAAAAUGUUUAGUAAAGUUAAACAUGUGUGAAAUAAUGUAUAAGGAUACUAGUAAUUUAUUGAUUUUAUUGCACUAGAAAAAAUACUCAUAAUUCUUAGGAAAAGCAGUAUACUUUCUUUGAAUAUAAGGAAGAAGCAAAUGACAUUACUUGACUUAUAGCAAAGAUGGUGAACUCCAGCAAAGUUUAAGAGAAAUGACAAUGGAUGCUUACCAUUUUUCAAAUGAACUCUGCUUUAGUCAAAUUGUCUUUUAGCAUAAGGUAAGAAAACAUUAAUGGGUAUUUUUCUAUUUUAGGGUUUCUUUUUCCCUCUGAUGGGUUUCUGUUUUAGUUUUGAGAAAUCAUAGGUAGUAGCAUGGUUGUAGUGGCAGUGUUAACCAAAAGCCCUUCUACAGUGGUUACUAUUAGAACAGUGUAAUUGUCUUUCUUCACCAUUCAGUUUUCAGUGGUACAUUAUAUAUUAUUCUCUCCCAAGCUUGGUAAAACACCCAUGUUACAUGUUGUCACAGUUCCUACAUGAUAUGUUCUUCAAAGUCAUACUCAGAACAGAAUGAAGCAUUUCUUUUAAUAAUAUCCUAAAUGAAGUACAACAUUAACUUUUGCCCAUUAUUGGCCUUUUGCUCUUCAAGAUAAAAAUUAAUGUUUUUCUGUGAAAACAUUCUAAGUAAUUUAUAUCUUAUAAAUACACAUAAGAGAAUGACAGACAGCUCAGGUGUUUGACAGUUAAUUGCUGUAGGAUAAGAAAUGGAAGGAAUAUUAAAAUGUCAGGAAGGGGCUGAUAUUUUAAGAGAGAGUACUUAAUUGGUAAAGUGCCAUAUUAGCAUCAGUACCUACCCAUAUGAAAAGCUGGCACAGGCUUAUACCCUAGUAAUGUAAAAAACAGACGAAAGGAUCUCUGUGAUUGACUGGUCAGUCACCCUAUUGAUUUGGCAAAUACCAGGCCAAUGAGAGGCCAUAUAUCAAAAAAAUGUGGUGGAGGAUUUCUGAAGCUGCAUGCAGACCAACACACACACUCACAAGCACAUGCGCGCAUGCACACACACACGCACACACACACACACACACACACACACACACACACAAAAUUACCCCCGCUAACACAUAGUUACCUCCCCUGACACAUAAUAUUGGGAAAUAAAUGAAAUGCCUCUGAAAUACCAAAUGGCUGGAAUGGUAGUAAUAUAUCAGAGUCACAGGGAGAAUUUUGAGACUCAGUUGACUACCAUCUUCUCCUUAUCCUCCAGCUCCACCAAUUGUUCUCUCCAUCACUUUCUGGAGUCUAGGUCUGUGAUGAAACUCAAAGAUUUGAGUUCGUAGCAGGUUUCAAGUAAUGUUGAUUGAGCUGGUCAAGGACAUUACUUUGAAAAAAAUUCAUACACGGUUACUUGUUUAAAAUAAUCAUUAGCUUAUUCAGUGUGGACUAAUAAUGCGUGUGGGUUUAAUGCCUUUAAGGGGCUCUUCCAUUCCUCAAAAGAUUUGUUUUUAGACAAAGGUUUGUAGAAAAGUAGUAUCUUCUGAAACACAAAGUACAACUUCCUUAAUUACAAAAUGUCAGUUAAGGAUUUAUUUCACUAAUAGAGCAACACUGCUUGCCCAAAGUGUCUUAAUCCUUCCACUUAGAACAGUUUUGUAUGAGAUGAAAACAAUAUUUAGCCUUAGUGUGUAUUGAGUUUAAGUUUAGAUAUUUAUGCAUCAGUUAUGUAUCACUACAUCUUGUGUUUCUUGAAUGUGUAUCUGAAACCAUAUGUGGCAUAAAAUUAGUUUUCUGACAAAUAACGUUCACAUUUGUUAACUUACUUACUUUCCUGUUUAUGCAACAGUGAACUACUUUUUAAACACUCAGAUUUUCAAACUUUAAACACACACACAUACACACACCCCCAUAAGUAUGUUUUACUUGACUCACAAUAUGGAAAUAUUUCACCAAGAUCUGUUUAAAAAUUCAGAAGAAUUCUGCAACAGAUUACAAUUUUAACAUUUUCUGAAACAUUUUCGGUUUUCUGAAAUUAUUUUUAACUAUUCAAACUUGUUGAAGAGAGUUCCUCAAGACACAUAAAGACAUAUCAAGACAUGAAAACAGAGUUUAUCUGUCUUUGUAAAUUUAGAUAUUUGUAAGGAAUGCGAACAAAGACGGGAUUUACAAGUGGAUCUUCUUAGAAAGAAAAAUGUAGACUUCUUUACUGUAGUGAUCACCUCAAGGUGCUCUGUAAGCCUGUCAGUAAGAUUGACUGCUCUUCAGGUACUUAGGAUGUAAUGAAAUUGAAUGUUCAUGCUGAGCUUGGUAAAUAAAAUGAGAUUGACCUCCUAGCCAUUAUCUCCUUUAUCUGAUUUACAUUGUAAAAUCAGGAUCUACACUAUUGAUUGGAGUAUAAUUAGUUAAUUAUGAACAGGAAAAUGCAAAGUUAGGUGGAGCUUGAACACAGCAGGUUGUAGUGCUAAAAUCUUUCCCAGGGCAUGAGCAGAGGGAGAUCAGUUUAUUAGAGAACAAAGCAGACGAGUUUCAGGCACGGAAAUGUCUAAUCCAUUUCUCAUGCUGGGAAGAGAUACUUGACCUUACUGUGUAUUGUCAUGAACUGCCUUGUUUCAUGUUCCGGGUUUCCUUGUUUUUAUUUUGUUUUGUUUUCUUAUUUCACUUUUAAAGUUGCAAGCUGGCUGUUGGCAGAUAUAAAUAAUGAAUUGAUUCCACAUUUUACGUGGGAUUGGAUUUGGCUUUUCCCAAAUAGUGAUAUUUAGUUAUCAAUAUCCAUUUGUAAUGAGGAAUUUUAGACUAUCCUACCACCCACUCAUUUCACUGUUUCCUGUGAGAGAAAUCCCCAGUAGCAUUCACAAGAUAGGUUCAUCAUUUUUAUGAUGUUUGUGAAAUAAGACUUAGAACAAGUUUUGAAUUAACAUGUAUAGAAAACAUUCGUGUAGGUGGUGGCUUGCACUAAAAUUAUUACCUGCUACAAGGAUUAAGAUAGUUUACUUAUAGAUAUUAUACCAUUGAUAGAAUGUAGGGUUUUGUGACAGCUCAUAUUAUUUAAAAAAUUUUAAUGGGCCUCAGUAUAUAUUUAUUCUACAUAUUAAGACAUUUAAUUGAAAUGAUUGAUCAGUGUUCACUGCAGUAACUUAUCACAGUUAGUUGCUGAAAUUGUAUUUGAAUUGCUAGUAAGGUUUUAUUUAAGCAGUGUUAAUAGUCAAGACUAAUUGAAGGGAAAGCCAGAAGAGCCAGCAGUCGGUUCUCCAGAUGCUCAUGUUUCUAGGUGAGAAGCGCAGUGUUCUGUAGUUCCAGAGACAGUUUCCUUAUUCAUCAUUGUAUAGGGAAUACUGCCUGUUGUGCUUCAUUACGGUAACAGAAUAUCUACAGUACAUCCCUUUUAAAGUCUCGCCCCAGAGGCUGCUUCUUUCCAAAGGCCAGUUUGCUUAGGAGGUACCUGCACUUAAUAAACCAGUGUUUUGGGGUUUGUUUGUUUGUUUGUUUGUUUGUUUUAAGGAAUGACUUAGUAUAUGCCAGAAAUAAACUUAUUAUUAUUUGAAACUAAGAAAGCUAAAUAAACCCUUUAGAGCAAUGGUUCUCAACGUUCUUAAUGCUGUAAAAACUCUCUUAUACAUUUCUUUUCAUUGUGGUAAGCACCAACCAUAAAAUUAUUUGUCACUUUCAUAACUAAUUUUUCUAGGGUUAUGAAUUGUAAUGUGAAUAUCUGUGAAUAUCUGUGUUUUCUGAUGGUCAUAGGCAAGUCCUGUGGGGGGGGGGGGGGGCUGUAGGGGUCGCGACCCACAGGUUGAGAACCACUGUUCUAGCACCUUGACUACUUUGUGUAGGCAUAAGAGAAAAUUUUAAGUUAGAUAUGUUUGCUUAUUUCCACAUUGUCAGUAGUCACUCGACACUGAGUUUAAUGCUUGUUAUGUGGAUCAUAGCACACAGGAAGAUCAAUCAUUUUCUCUUCUUCUCUAGGGUGCUGUACUUAAUCAUAACGCUAAGUAAGUAUUUUAAUAAAAAUCGAGCUGUGCUUAUUUAGUCUCUACAUCUUCCUGAAUCAACGUAGAGUGCUCCUCUGUCCUUUGUAUUUGUAUCAAUAUUAAUGUAGUAUGUAGGAAGUUGAACUUGAUAGGUACUUGGUUGGUCAGACUUUGUUCACAUUAAAAAUUGGCUUUGUUUGAUCUCACUAUACUACAAAUUUUAGAAUUCUCUGUAGUCUAAUGUGCACAAUAUUUAUUAAAUAUUUUAAAUAUACUUCUUCAGUCAUCAAGUUUAGUUUUUAUUUAUAGACAUGUUCUUCAUAUGCUAAAUUUAUAUUUUCUUCAUGGUUAAGGUAUUGCCUUUUUACUAUGAUGUGCUAUUGGUAUAAUAAUGUUUUUCUUACAUCAACAUUUGUUUCGUUUAAUAAAGUGUUGUGUUAAUAUCACAGUACUUUUGUGGGUCAGUGACUUCUUUUGAAAAUUUAAACAUUUUAUUCAUUUGUUUUAACAAACUAAGUGUGUUAUUGUAUUUGUACAAUUAAAAUGUUUCCAAGUACUUAUUAGAAAUAGAAACUAAGGAAAAUUAAUCAGUAAGUGUUUUUACCCUAUUGUACUUUUCAGAGUAUAGCCUCAUAUAAGACUUAGUUUUUGAGUUUUAAAAGCAUUUAAAAGUUUUUCUAUAUAGCCAAAAUUUACUGGUUACUAAGUUUUGAUACAAUUUUCACAGUUGUGUGUGUACAUAGGAUAUACAAUCUACUAUUUUAAUCUUCUAUACUCUUAUGUUUUUAAGAAAUUUAAUAGUAUCUCAUAAAUUUGUCAGUAGGCCUAGUUAACACAGAUUUUUCAAAUUCUGCUAGAUUUUACCUCUGCCAUUUAGGAUAUAAUUGUUAGUAGUACCUUCAGUUAUGAUUUGGUUUCAAUUUAACAGAUUUAAUGCAAAUUUUCUACAUGAAAAUAACUUGUAAAAUCCUUUGAAUAUCUUAUAUUUAUUGUUUACUUGGCAAACAUUGACUUCAAAUGGGGUAUUAUUCUGUAAUUUUCUUUCUCUCUCUUGAAUUUUGGUGGUUGCUAGAGUAGAGACCACCACUUUAUGCUAUUUAAACUUGGACUUGCAGCCUUUACUUACUGGGAGUAAGCGAGGACCUUAUAGAACUAUCCUAACACCCCAAUUGUCUGCCAGCAUGAGAAAGACGUCCUGAAAUGUAUCCUGAUGAAGGUGUCAGGAAGAAUUAGGUCAACUCCUAAGAGCAAAUGCUUCACAGCUUCUUCUGAAAGUGCUCCCAAUACCAGAACAGGUAUUGGAUCAUUUAAACAUUUUAAUGUACUUUUAGAUGCCUCAUUUUAAACACUGUCAAUUUGCAUAGCCUUAAUAGUUUUGGUGACCUAAUUUCUGCAUACAGAAGUUCUGUAAGAAAAUUAUGGUUGUAAAAAUAUACUGAUACUAUUAGGAAGCAAUGGCUGGUAGUUUUUAAGGAAGUAGGAACCCUGAAGACCUGGAAAAAUUGAACAUAAAAAUGUCAGACAAAAUAGUAGAUGAAUAGUAUUUUAACUACAGAAACUUGCCACAGAGAUGUAGCUCCAGCUGUCAUUUAGCCUGAUGAUCCUAAUGUAAAAAAUGCAGAGAAAAAAUGUAUUUUAUAUAUUCCCCCUGAUGAACCAAAUAAUGGUAUUCUUUAUAACAUUUCCGUGAAGGAUUAGUGACAUAUUAUAUAGUCCCUGUACUUAGAUCAGUGUUCCUCUGUGACUCCAAACAUUCUGAUCAACGUAGAAGCAGUCUUGAUUAAAAGGUUUUUGUAUCCCAGGAUUUAGUAUUUUAGUUACUGAAAGGUAAAUUAGUUCAACUGAGAAAGGAAGACCCAGAGUAUUAAUUCUGUGGUCUUGCUAUCCUUAUUUUACAUUUGAUAUUAACUACAUAAUCUUAUUUUUAAAUCCCAGAGAAACAGUUAUUUGAACAUUUAAAAUUUUAAUAUAUUUUUGGAUCAGUGGAAUAAUAUAUGGCAUUUGUCAGUUUCAUUUUAUUCACUCCUGCAACUGGGAUUACAGUAAAUGCACAAUUCAAGUUCAUUUUUUGAAUCUCAGAGUUUUGAAAAAAUAUUCAUUCACUUAUUUCAUUGACAAGAACCUUAUAAUUAUAGAGUAAUGAUGAGUAAGUCAUAGUAGAUAACUAUCUCACACUUCCAUGUGCCUGCAUGACUUGACUCUGGAAUUCUGAAAUAUUCCUUGACAGGCUAGGUUUUUGUAGCAUAGUAAGAAAUUUUGACUAAAAAUAUAGAUAAUUGUUUUCUUUAUUGUGAUCAUUUUUUAAGUUACUUUUCUUUGGACAUAUGCAUGAGAAUAAUUCCUUUCUGUAUUUCCCAAUGUUUACUGAAUAGGAAUUUUGUGUUGUACUCAAGCAACCUGCUUAAUAAAUUCCUUCCUUGGUGUUUUAAUUGACUUUUUAUGCUCUAAACCGUGAGAAAUCAGUAAUAACGAGAAUUUGAUUGGUUAAAAAGUACUCCUCUGUAAUUAAAAGUACAAAGAAAAUCAGAAAUAAAACCCAUUUUGUAAGAUGUAUACAUCUUGAUACUAGUUGCUCAAUUUUGGACUUCUGAUUUCAGUUGUUGCAAAAUUCAUUUUUAAAACACUGAAAUAAUACAGAUUUUUCUUCAUUGUCAGCAGGAUGAGAUUGUCUGAAGCGAAGAAUAGGUAUGGUAGUUUUCUUAGAUUGUGUACUUCAUAUGAGGCAAGACACUAUCAAAACAUCUGCUGAGUGCUAAGUAUCCUCAGAAGUACUUGAAACACCAAGUACAUGGCAGAACUUGACAAAAACUAGUGAGAGUAAUAUCCAAUCCUUGAAGUGGCUGCUUGCAUAUUUAAAUAUUCUGUUACUUAACAUAAAAAGAUUAUAUCUGCUGUAGAUUGUGUUAGCAUGCUAUAAAUGUUAGAAAGUUCAUUUGCAGUAUACUUUAACCUGAAAAAAAUACAAAAAUGAAGUAUAAAUUGUAUGGCAGAAAUUACAGCUUAGAUUUCUGUGAACUGUCUACUGGAUAAAUGAUUAAUUCUAUUUGUUCAAAAUUGAAUUUUGAUUGCUAAUUUUUGCACAUAUGCUUACAUAUAUAUUCAUUCAUUCAUAUUUUAACAUUUAUAUACUCUGAACUUUUUUAUCAGAAUGUUGUUCCUUUCUAAUUGUAUUGUUUCAAUUUUUUCAUCUAUAAUAUUUAUUUAAGAUUUAGAUCAUUAUGAUAAAUGUUAAUUUCAGAAUCUCCUGAGCAAAGGUUAGAGUUAUAUGUUAAAGUCGCUAUGUAACACUGUGUUCUUUUGUCUUUGAAAUGAGUAGUUUCAACAUUCAGAUCCACUCUGACUCUGCUUGCCCUGCAGGUGUGAUGAAUGCAGGCUGUGCUACCAUUUUGGCUGUUUAGAUCCUCCUUUGAAAAAGUCUCCUAAACAAACAGGCUAUGGAUGGAUAUGUCAGGAAUGUGACUCUUCAUCUUCUAAGGAAGAUGAAAAUGAAGCUGAAAAGAAAAACGCAUCUCAGGAGCUCAGCAUGGAGCAGAAAACUCCAAAGAAGUAAAGGAUUGUCCAGUGUGUUCUGAAGCGUGUACAACUUAGGCUCAAGCAGAUAACGUUUCUGAUUUAUAAAAUGUUAAUUGUAAAAUCUAAUUUACAAAACUGUUCUCAAUAAAGUCCUUGAAAUAGGA